CGAAAGCCUGACGGAGCAACGCCGCGUGGGGGAGGAAUGUCUGUGGAUUGUAAACCCCUUUUCUCAGGGAAGAAGUUCUGACGGUACCUGAGGAAUCAGCAUCGGCUAACUCCGUGCCAGCAGCCGCGGUAAUACGGAGGAGGCAAGCGUUAUCCGGAAUUAUUGGGCGUAAAGCGUCCGCAGGUGGCGAUUCAAGUCUGCUGUCAAAGCACGGGGCUUAACUCCGUUAAGGCAGUGGAAACUGAAUGGCUAGAGUGCCGUAGGGGUAGAGGGAAUUCCCGGUGUAGCGGUGAAAUGCGUAGAGAUCGGGAAGAACACCAGUGGCGAAGGCGCUCUACUGGGCCGCAACUGACGCUGAGGGACGAAAGCUAGGGGAGCG
RNAcentral lists this ribosomal RNA (379 nucleotides) under uncultured cyanobacterium. RNAcentral describes it as "bacterial SSU rRNA". It matches the Rfam family "Bacterial small subunit ribosomal RNA", at positions 376 to 770 of the family's 1533-position model. Lineage: Bacteria; Bacillati; Cyanobacteriota. The record is from RNAcentral.